AUACGGAGGGUGCGAGCGUUGUCCGGAUUUAUUGGGUUUAAAGGGUGCGUAGGUGGUUUUAUAAGUCAGUGGUGAAAUCCGGUCGCUUAACGAUCGAUGUGCCAUUGAUACUGUAGGACUUGGAUAUGUUGGAGGUUGCCGGAAUGGGUGGUGUAGCGGUGAAAUGCAUAGAGAUCACCCAGAACGCCAAUUGCGAAGACAGGUGACUACGACAUUAUCGACACUGAGGCACGAAAGCAUGGGUAGC
Molecule: ribosomal RNA, 247 nt
Filed under: uncultured bacterium
Lineage: Bacteria
Description: partial 16S ribosomal RNA
Rfam family: Bacterial small subunit ribosomal RNA
Source: RNAcentral